RNAcentral lists this ribosomal RNA (305 nucleotides) under uncultured bacterium. RNAcentral describes it as "bacterial SSU rRNA". It matches the Rfam family "Bacterial small subunit ribosomal RNA", at positions 332 to 636 of the family's 1533-position model. The record is from RNAcentral.
UUGACCUACGGGGGGCAGCAGUGAGGAAUAUUGGUCAAUGGGCGGGAGCCUGAACCAGCCAAGUCGCGUGAGGGAAGAAGGUACUGAGUAUUGUAAACCUCUUUUGCCAGGGGACAAAGGCGGCCACGGGUGGCCGUAAGAGGGUACCUGGAGAAAAAGCAUCGGCUAACUCCGUGCCAGCAGCCGCGGUAAUACGGAGGAUGCGAGCGUUAUCCGGAUUUAUUGGGUUUAAAGGGUGCGUAGGCGGAUUGAUAAGUUAGAGGUGAAAUGUCCGAGCUCAACUCGGGAACUGCCUCUAAUACUGU